CCCUUAGAUGUCCUGGGCCGCACGCGUGCUACACUGAUGCAUACAGCGAGCACUUCCCGGCCCCGAAAGGCGGCUGGUAAUCAGCAAUAUGCAUCGUGAUGGGGAUAGUUCUUUGGAAUUCUUGAACUUGAACGAGGAAUGCCUAGUAGGCGCAAGUCAUUACCUUGCGUCGAUUAAGUCCCUGCCCUUUGUACACACCGCCCGUCGCACCUACCGAUUGAAUGGUCCGGUGAAGCCUCCGGAUUGGCGCGCACCUCGGUGCCGCCGAGAAGUUGGCUAAACCUUACCAUUUAGAGGAAGGUGAAGUCGUAACA
Molecule: ribosomal RNA, 314 nt
Filed under: uncultured eukaryote
Lineage: Eukaryota
Description: partial 18S ribosomal RNA
Rfam family: Eukaryotic small subunit ribosomal RNA
Source: RNAcentral